Fukomys damarensis (Damara mole-rat) is the source of this 88-nucleotide microRNA precursor. The record is from Ensembl. NCBI's taxonomy places the organism in Eukaryota, Metazoa, Chordata, Mammalia, Rodentia, Bathyergidae.
GUGCACAGGGCUCUGACCUAUGAAUUGACAGCCAGUGCUCUUGUCUCCUCUCUGGCUGCCAAUUCCAUAGGUCACAGGUAUGUUCGCC